UCAAGAUUGUUACUCUUCCUUGUGUGUAUCAUCAUUAUCAUAUGUUCUGCACAUGCUGUGUUUGUCAAAAUUCCACACUCGUCGGUAACUUUGAUUUGCUCUUCAGUUAAAUCGGAUGGAUUGUUCAUUUAGUCGAUGGAUUCUUCCCCUUUUUGCCUCAUUGGAUUGCUAAGGCUUGUAAUGUUGUUUUACAGCAUGGGCAUUUAGGAUUUACGCUCUCAUGUUAUGAUGCUGAAGUUAGCUACGAUGGUCGCACUAACACUUUUCUGGCAAGAUAUCCACCGCAUGGAAGAAGAACUGUGGUCAUAGAAGGAGUUGAGUGGGAUAGGUUAAGGUCGCCUCCUAUAGACACUCCUGCUUAUGAUCUUCAUAUCUCCAAUUGUUUGAACGAUUUGCAACCAGGCGACCAUAUUGAGAUCCAAUGGAGAAGGAACAAAGAGUUUCCUUAUGGAUGGUGGUAUGGAGGAAUAGGUCAAUUGGAAUCUUGUGAUGGAAAUCGGCAUUUCUGUUAUUGUCAUCUUAGUGGAUGGUGGUAUGGAGGAAUAGGUCAAUUGGAAUCUUGUGAUGGAAAUCGACAUUUCUGUUGUUGUCAUCUUAGUGAAUAACCAUAUCGUGGCAUUGAAAGUUCUUUUCAAGAGCUAGCUCAAACAAUCUCAAGUUGAGCAUCAACUGCGACGUGAAGUUAGAUACAAAGCCACCUCCGGCAUCCAAACAUAUUACGUCUAUAUGGUUACUUCUAUGAUCAGACUCGAGUUUACUUGAUACUGGAAUAUGCAGCUAAAGGUGAACUCUACAAGGAACUACAGAAAUCCAAAUGCUUCAGUGAGAGGCGAACUG
This is a long non-coding RNA of Zingiber officinale, 837 nucleotides long. RefSeq lists it as uncharacterized. The record is from RefSeq and is a predicted model, not a curated record. The transcript has 6 exons. NCBI's taxonomy places the organism in Eukaryota, Viridiplantae, Streptophyta, Magnoliopsida, Zingiberales, Zingiberaceae.